RNAcentral lists this ribosomal RNA (513 nucleotides) under Salmonella enterica subsp. enterica serovar Muenchen. RNAcentral describes it as "partial 23S ribosomal RNA". It matches the Rfam family "Bacterial large subunit ribosomal RNA", at positions 1 to 544 of the family's 2925-position model. The record is from RNAcentral. Lineage: Bacteria; Pseudomonadati; Pseudomonadota; Gammaproteobacteria; Enterobacterales; Enterobacteriaceae.
GGGUUGUGAGGUUAAGCGACUAAGCGUACACGGUGGAUGCCCUGGCAGUCAGAGGCGAUGAAGGGCGUGCUAAUCUGCGAUAAGCGCCGGUAAGGUGAUAUGAACCGUUAUAACCGGCGAUACCCGAAUGGGGAAACCCAGUGUGAUUCGUCACACUAUCAUUAACUGAAUCCAUAGGUUAAUGAGGCGAACCGGGGGAACUGAAACAUCUAAGUACCCCGAGGAAAAGAAAUCAACCGAGAUUCCCCCAGUAGCGGCGAGCGAACGGGGAGGAGCCCAGAGCCUGAAUCAGCAUGUGUGUUAGUGGAAGCGUCUGGAAAGGCGCGCGAUACAGGGUGACAGCCCCGUACACAAAAGCGUAUGUGCUGUGAGCUCGAUGAGUAGGGCGGGACACGUGGUAUCCUGUCUGAAUAUGGGGGGACCAUCCUCCAAGGCUAAAUACUCCUGACUGACCGAUAGUGAACCAGUACCGUGAGGGAAAGGCGAAAAGAACCCCGGCGAGGGGAGUGAAAA